This is a non-coding RNA of Hydra vulgaris (swiftwater hydra), 2556 nucleotides long. NCBI's taxonomy places the organism in Eukaryota, Metazoa, Cnidaria, Hydrozoa, Anthoathecata, Hydridae. The record is from RefSeq and is a predicted model, not a curated record.
UAUUUUUUAUCGUUAACAAUUUUUUUAUAAUCAAAUUAAAAAAUGGAUCGAGGCGUUUUAUACAAAGAAUUAUACGAAAGAUUUGUAAAAGCUUAUGGCCAUUCUAAGUCAAAACAAAACUGCCAAAAAGAAAUAAAUAUCAUAUGGAAUAAAAUAAAAAAUGAUGAAAAACUUCCUGAAAAAGUAAAAGAAUUAUUAAACACAUAUUCAACAAAAGCAAUGAAAGUAAAAGGAAAGUUGUUUAAUUACUGGUCGUCAGCUGCAACAAAAUCCUCAAUUUCUCAUGACAAAGAAAACAAAUCGAAUCUUGUUGAAGUUGAUAAAUCAAAAACUUUAUUCUCCGUAGUUUCUGAUGAAAUUGAUUUUGUAGCAGAACCAUCUCAAGUAACCAAAUCAAGUACUGUAGAUUCAAUUGUGCGAUGUGCUAAGACGGAGAGAAAAGUUCAAGAUUCACUAAAACAAGAAAAUAAUUUGAUUAAUGGAGAUUUGAUUGGGUUGAUGAAGAGAAAAGAAUGCGGACAGUUUACAUCGGUGCAAGAAAAUGAGCUUAUAGAAAAGAAGAAGAAAAAAGAACUAGAAAAGAACUUAAAGAAGAAAAAAGAUUCAAUGUUGAGAAGCCGGAAGUUCUGAAGUAAUAGGAGGGAAGCAGGGGGAAAGCCUUAAAAAAGCUUUGUAAAUCAACUCUAUCAGCAAAAAAGACUCUCCACCUUCAAAUGACAAGUGGGCGUCCGUGAAUUAAAGAAGAACAACCGGAUUUACUAAAAACUAUUUGUGACAUUGCUCUUUACGGUUCAGCAGCUCAUGAAAAAAGAAGAUAUACUGUUGUUAGAAGUACAAAAACGUUAAGUGAAUUGACUGAAUCUUUGAAAAAGCUAGGUUUUCAAGUUAGUAGAACCGGUACUUAUCUUCGAUUGAAUCCAAGAAACAGCGCAACUCAAGAAGGAAAUAGGCAUAUAAAAACUGUCCCAGUUAAGUUAAUUAGAUCCCAAAAUGAUAAACAUGCCAAACAUAUUGAUGUGAAAUUCUGUACAGAAACAAUCAGGCGUCUUGAAGAGAUAUCAUUUCUCCUUGGUCCAAAAGAAGUUUUUUUUCUCAGUCAGGACGACAAAGCCAGGGUUAUAUAAGUUUUUUUAUUUAUUUAAUUUUUCAUAUCAAGAAAAAUUUAAUCUGCAUUAUUAUCACAUUGUUUUAGGUUCCGAUUAGAUUGACUGCUGCAAAUAAGCAUGCGCCGUUGCUUAUGUAUAUGGAGUAUAAAGUGACUCUACCAAAUCAUGACUGGGUUAUUGCUAAUAAUAACACAUUUAUCCCAUCUGUGUACGCUGCUAUUGAAGUGCACUCAGAUGGUUUAGGGAAACCGAGUUUCGUAGGUUACUUCGGCCUUACAUAUAUAGCUGUUAGAUCUGGAAAACAUUCGUCAUCGACUGCAUUAUCUCACGCUCUUGAUUUUAAUAAACUAACUGACUUAAAAGAAUUUCAGGAUUUUUCUAAAAAUGGUUCUUUUGUUAAACCAGUUGUCAUCUUGACUGUAGAUGGAGGUCCAGUGAGAACCCUCAUUAUCAAAAGAUUGGCUGCAAAUUCACCAGGAAGGAGCGCUUUUAAUCGAGUCGAUAGAAGAAUGGCACCAUUAAGUUGUGAACUUUCAAGCGUGAUCCUACCUCAUGAUUAUUAUGGAAAUCAUCUUAACAAUGCUGGUUUUACAAUAGAUAAUACUCUUGAAAAAACAAAAUUUCCAGUAUGCUGGUGAAACUCUUGCGGAAAUCUGGUCUAAUGUUUCAAUUGACAAGUUUCCUGUAGUUGCUGAAUUUAUUGUUCCAGAAAAAUCAGAAAUCUUAUCUAGUACUUUAAAAACCAAGGACAGCUUCUGGUAUGCUCGUCAUGUGCAAACAAGCCAGUAUUUUUUCCAAAUAGUUAAGUGUGAAAAUCGGAAUUGCUGUACCAAGAGGGUCAUAUUUUACAGUCAUACUUGAUCGUUUUUUUUCAACAUUGAUACCGCUAUCACAACUCCCAGAGGGACGGCUCCAAGUUCCGAACGCAUUAUGCCAUAAAAACCACAAGUUUCCGUCGCUUUUUGUUGGAAAAACCUUUAAGUUAGAUGAUAUUAUGUCUCACCUGACAACGGUUUAUUGAGUUUUACCUUAUGAUUUAUUAUGUUCAUCUGUGCCAUCUCUUCUUAAGAGUCGAUGUUGCAAAAAAUGUUCAAUGUAUUUUGCAUCCAAUGUGUUGUUAAAGAAACACGUUACUGUCCAUAUAUAUUCAAAAUCACCAAUCGAUGCUGCUUCUGACAUAAUCAGGCAAGUGCAUACUUGUUUGGCUGCUCGUCAUCAAACUGAGCUUAUGACAAUAAAUUUGUUUGAGGAAAACGGAGAGCAUAUCGAUUGGAUUGAAGAAAAUGAAUUCUAAUGUUCAAAUCAUACCAAAAGAAGAUGUAGAAAAAAAUCUUUCCUUGUCACUUUUCUUAAUGGAUGAACACUUCUGCUCACCUUGGAUAAAUGCUGAAUAAUAUAUUAUAUGUAUGGUAAUUUUAAAGAUGAAUAAGAUAAAUUUCGUUUGUGAAAA